AUAAUUGAUAUUUUAGUUAAUUCAAUAUUUAAAUUUAAAUUAAUUAAGUAAUUAGAAAUUUCUACUGGGUAGCUUGAGCAACUUGUGGUUGUGGCUAACGGUUUAUUUCGUAAGGAUAUUUUCUCUUAUUUCUGUUGCUUUCAAGAAAGAAAAAGAUCAAUGUACCAACGCUAGCUAUAAACUGAGACUCGCAUACACCCAGGUCACUCAAGAAAACAAACGAGAAAAAAGGCUUCUCCUUUAUAGCAAAACUUCAUGGCUCAAUUUACUGCACAAGGGCGCAUGAAACUGUUAUUUAAUUGUGAUGGAGUUCAGCUUAAGCUUCUUCGCAAUGGCUUCGCUGGUGGGUUAAACUCAUUUCAGCUCCAGAAGAAAACACUCGAGUACAUUGGUUCAUGUACAAGGCUCUAUUAUUCUCUCAGCAAAAAAUCCAGGCAUUUUAAUGCGAGGGCAAGUCUCAAGGCAAGGGAAGAUGGUGAUAGUGAUGAGAGUGAAGAUUUUGACAGUGAGUUUGAGACAGAUGAUUUGGCUUCCUUUAGAGGUCUGGUCUUGGAUAUAUCUUACAGGCCAGUUAAUGUUGUCUGCUGGAAGAGAGCUAUAUGUUUGGAAUUCAUGGAGAAGGCUGACGUACUAGAAUAUUAUGAUCAGACUGUAAUUUCUCCAAGUGGAUCCUUCUACAUACCAGCUGUAUUAAGGGUUCCACAUCUUCUGCAGGUUGUUAAGAGAAGAAGAAUAAGAAGUAAUCUUAGUCGUAAGAAUAUAUUAUUUCGGGACAACUAUACUUGUCAGUACUGCUCUUCACGGGAGAACUUGACCAUUGACCAUGUUCUACCAACUGCACAAGGAGGAGAAUGGACAUGGGAAAAUCUGGUUAGUUUUUUUAUUAUUAUUACAAAUUCAGUGAUAAUAUGUUUUCUUGUUAAAGGAAAACAACAAAACCAUUUGAAAGAAGAAACAAGGUCAGAGAAAUAGGCAGGAGAUUUUCCAUGGUGCCAUAAAACAUAGGAAAUAGAAUACAAAUUAGAAACUAGGUUACUGCUUGUGCCAAAUGCAACUCAAGGAAAGGUCAGAAAACUAUAGAAGAGGCAAAUAUGAAGCUGAUUAAGCUCCCCAAGGCCCCAAAAGACUUCGAAAUACUCGCCAUACCACUGACAAGUGUGGCAAUAAAGAUGCUGAGGAUGACAAAAGGAACGCCUGAAGAGUGGCGUCAAUAUUUGGCAACGCCAUCCUCCCAGCCAUGACAUCAAUCCUUUGGUUAGCUAUACAUUCUGGUGAUUUAUACAUAUAAUUUCUCUCCAGUUCUUCUAAAAGCACAUUAACCUGUAUGUAUUCAAGAUGCAAAUGCAACUUUUGUACAUUUUCUUUCAUUUUCUUUUUGAAUAGAUCAACUCGUAUAUACAGAACAUCUUCCUAAUGUAGCAUCCUUGCAUUGUAU
This is an RNA transcript of Manihot esculenta (cassava), 1435 nucleotides long. RefSeq lists it as uncharacterized. NCBI's taxonomy places the organism in Eukaryota, Viridiplantae, Streptophyta, Magnoliopsida, Malpighiales, Euphorbiaceae. The transcript is spliced from 7 exons. The record is from RefSeq and is a predicted model, not a curated record.